Molecule: unclassified non-coding RNA, 390 nt
Filed under: soil metagenome
Description: partial contains 5.8S ribosomal RNA, internal transcribed spacer 2, and large subunit ribosomal RNA
Rfam family: 5.8S ribosomal RNA (bases 1-121)
Source: RNAcentral
GAUGAAGAAGUAGCGAAAUGCGAUACUUGGUGUGAAUUGCAGAAUCCCGUGAACCAUCGAGUCUUUGAACGCAAGUUGCGCCCGAAGCCAUUAGGCCGAGGGCACGCCUGCCUGGGCGUCACACGUCGUUGCCCCCCCAUCUACUCCUUCGGGAUUGCGGGGGGCGGAUGAUGGCCUCCCGUGCGCCUCGUCGCGCGGUUGGCAUAAAUGCCAAGUCCUCGGCGACGCACGCCACGACAAUCGGUGGUUGCGAAACCUCGGUUGCCCGUCGUGUGCGGUCGUCGCGCAUCGAGGGCUCGAAAAAAUUGUCGGGCUCCGGCUCGGCUUUCAACGCGACCCCAGGUCAGGCGGGGUUACCCGCUGAAUUUAAGCAUAUCAAUAAGCGGAGGA